RNAcentral lists this ribosomal RNA (515 nucleotides) under Thinophilus hardyi. RNAcentral describes it as "partial 16S ribosomal RNA". It matches the Rfam family "Bacterial large subunit ribosomal RNA", at positions 1816 to 2596 of the family's 2925-position model. The record is from RNAcentral. Lineage: Eukaryota; Metazoa; Arthropoda; Insecta; Diptera; Dolichopodidae.
CAUGUCUUUUUGAUAUUUAUUUAAAGWCUGAUCUGCCCACUGAUGAAGUUUAAAGGGCCGCAGUAUUCUAACUGUGCAAAGGUAGCAUAAUAAUUAGUCUUUUAAUUGAAGGCUUGUAUGAAUGAUUGGACGAGAUAUAAGCUGUCUCAAAUUAAAUUGUUAGAAUUUUAUUUUUUAGUUAAAAAGCUAAAAUUUAUUUAAAAGACGAGAAGACCCUAUAGAUCUUAAUGUUAUUAAUUUUAAUAUUUUAUAGGAUUUUUUAUAAAAUUAAUUUUAUAUAAUAUUUUAUUGGGGUGAUAUUGAAAUUUGUAAAACUUUCAAUUUAUCGUAAAACAUUAAUUUAUGAAUUAUUGAUCCAUUAUUAUUGAUUAAAAAUUUAAGUUACCUUAGGGAUAACAGCGUAAUUAUUUUGGAGAGUUCAUAUCGAUAAAAUAGAUUGCGACCUCGAUGUUGGAUUAAGAUUAAUUUUGGGCGCAGCAGUUCAAAAUAUUAAKUCUGUUCGACUUUUAAUAUCU